GCUCUUAUCUAGAUAACUGAUCCAACAUGUUUUCAUUCUUUUCUGCAUUGGGUCAGUAUGUGAAAAGUUUCUCGACUCCACAAUCAAUUUUCUGUUCUGUUGAAAGGCAAGAGUAUGCCAUGCUUAAUGCGAAUCAGCAUGAGCGAAUUGUUUUCCUAAUCGUGUAUUUUCCUUGUGAUAAUUUUUUAACUGAAUACCUUGUGAUAUUUUCCUCAAACAGGUUCCAAAACUAUUACUUCAUCGACUCUUUCCUGAUGUGCGGUAUUCACUCUGGAUCGAUGGGAAACUUAAACUUGUGAAGGAUCCUUAUCAGUUGUUAGAGAGAUUCUUGUGGAGGAAAAAUGUGCGCUUCGCUAUUUCCAGGCAUUAUAGACUCUUUGAUGUCCUUGAGGAAGUUGAGGCCAACAAGGCUGGUGGGAAGUAUGAUAAUGCUUCAAUCGAUAACCAAAUAGAGUUCUACAAGAGAGAGGGUUUAACCCAUUAUUCAUCAGCUAAGUUCCUUAUUACAAGCGAUGUCCCCGAGGGCUGUGUAAUUAUAGGAGAGCACAUACCCAUCACCAAUCUAUUCACAUGCCUUUGGUUCAAUGAAGUUGAUCGUUCCACCUCAAGAGAUCAGCUAAGCUUUAGCGCAGCGAGGGAUAAAAUAAGAUCAAGAGUUCUUUUUGACAACUAAAUAAGAUCAGGAGUUAAUUGGACUGUAGACAUGUUCCUGGAUUGUGGAAGGUGUGAUUUUGUUGUUCAGGUACUUUCGAGUUAAUGCUUUGUGCGGCACGUCAUUCCAUUUGCAACCUAUAAGUACUACUGCAUCUUGGUACCGAGUGCAAACUUGUGAAAUUACACAAAAAAUCCCGCAUAACGAUGGAUCUUCGCAUCGUCAUAGGGACUAUCUGAAAACAACAUCAGUGGACAGAUGAUUUUUUGGAAAGAACAAUGCCAGGAUCUUUGACAGAAUAGAAUUUUAUUGGAGUUUGAGGCUAUAUUAUUGAUGAGGUAUCCUGGAGAGCUGCAAGCUGCCUUUCUUGUUUUGAA
This is a non-coding RNA of Triticum urartu, 1029 nucleotides long. The record is from RefSeq and is a predicted model, not a curated record. NCBI's taxonomy places the organism in Eukaryota, Viridiplantae, Streptophyta, Magnoliopsida, Poales, Poaceae.